Molecule: ribosomal RNA, 510 nt
Filed under: uncultured bacterium
Lineage: Bacteria
Description: bacterial SSU rRNA
Rfam family: Bacterial small subunit ribosomal RNA
Source: RNAcentral
ACAUGCAAGUCGAGUGCGCGUCCGUAGCAAUACGGAUGGCGCACGGCGCACGGGUGCGUAACACGUGGGCAAUCUGCCCUCCGAUGGGGAAUAACUCCGGGAAACCGAAGCUAAUUCCGCAUAACAUUCCUUGGACUCCGGUUCGGGGAUUCAAAGCAGCAAUGCGUCGGAGGAGGAGCCCGCGCCCGAUUAGCUAGUUGGUGAGGUAACGGCUCACCAAGGCUAUGAUCGGUAGCUGGUCUGAGAGGAUGGCCAGCCACACUGGAACUGAGACACGGUCCAGACUCCUACGGGAGGCAGCAGUGGGGAAUCUUGCGCAAUGGGCGAAAGCCUGACGCAGCGACGCCGCGUGGGGGAUGAAGCUUCUCGGAGUGUAAACCCCUUUCGACCGGGACGAAUGCCCGCAAGGGAGUGACGGUACCGGUAGAAGAAGCCCCGGCUAACUACGUGCCAGCAGCCGCGGUAAGACGUAGGGGGCCAGCGUUGUUCGGAAUUACUGGGUGUAAAGGG